UUUGAAUUUUCUGAUGUGUCCAAUGAUGCAUAAUUCUUUUUUCUGUGUCAUUACAGGGCCGGACUAAGGCUUGUGUGAUCCCUAAAAAUGCUCGAUCAGAUUGGGAUCUGGAGAAUUUGCCAUCCAAGUCAACACCUUGAACUCUUUGACAUGUACCUCACACCAUUCCAGACCAAUUUUUGUGAUGUUAAGUGUUACAUUAUCCAGCUGGAAGAGGCCACUGCCAUCAGGGACAUACCAUGCUACGAAGAGGUGUACUUGGGCUGCAACAAUGUUUAGUGACACUCAUCAGCUAUCUUCCCGAACAUCCUAAGAAGGUAGUUGAGGGCAUCUGACGGCUUUGUGCUGAAUCUGUGUUAAAGUGAAGAAAACAAAACCAACAACAUUAUGUAACUGUUCAACAUUAACGUUCUAUAAAAAGUGCACAGAAACUUGUAUGAUGGUUUACAGCAGGCAAACUGGAAUAAGCACAGCAUUUGCUUUGGCGGUUAUUUUGGCACAAUUAUGGUCACGUCAAAUGAUUAUUAUUUUUACAGAAUUAUGGUCAUUUCUGUUAUUUGUAUGAAGAUUUUUUUUGCAGAAUCAUGGACAUUUCAAUAUUAAACCGGAAGAAAUAUUUUUUUACAUUUA
Molecule: long non-coding RNA, 630 nt
Organism: Pseudophryne corroboree (corroboree frog)
Lineage: Eukaryota; Metazoa; Chordata; Amphibia; Anura; Myobatrachidae
Exons: 3
Source: RefSeq, a predicted model, not a curated record